RNAcentral lists this long non-coding RNA (999 nucleotides) under Ananas comosus (pineapple). Its description in RNAcentral is "long non-coding RNA (ACOM_LNC020863)". Lineage: Eukaryota; Viridiplantae; Streptophyta; Magnoliopsida; Poales; Bromeliaceae. The record is from RNAcentral.
CAAAACUGGGCCGUCUUUUUCGAUUUUACAGAUUCGGUCUGAAUUUUCAGCAAACUGACCAAAAUACCCUUAUUGCUUUUUUCUCUAGAUCUCCUCUUUCUCUCUUCUUUUUUUUUCUCUCGUUUAUUUUUUUUCUCUCGCCGAAGAAGGCAGCGGAGGCAGAGGCAGAGGUGGAGGCGGAAACGGCCCGCCUCGCCUCUCUCCCUCAUGCUCGAUCUCACCCUCGCCCUCGACCUCGUCCUCGCCCGCGCACCCCCCGUCUUUCUUGCCUCCGACCCCGCCAAGGCCACACCGCGACUCUGUUUUUUUUUUUUUCCCUCCCCGACUCUCCUCCAUCGUCUUGGACGACGACGCCUCUCUUGCCCUUCCCCGCCUUUAUCAUCCUCUCCCUCUCCCUCAUUCUCUGCCGCUUCCGACGAUGACGCAUCUUCGCCGACGCCGACACCGACACCAUGGAGGUUGUUGGGGCACUGCAGCCUCGGAGCGGGGGGUCCUUAGCAGCGUCGUCGCUAACGCCGUGGCCGCUGGCAAAGAAGGGUGAUAAAAAAAAAUUGUAGAAGAAGGAAGAAAAAAUAAAGACAAAAAAUUAUAGAAAAAAAAAAUAAAGAUGAAAUUGCACCGUUAAAAUAAAAUUGCACUGUUUUAAAAGAACAUUGCAUUAUUAUGGACAUAAGUUGCACUACUUAAGAUGUAAACUGCAGUUUUAAGAUAAAAAUUACACUCUUUAAACGAAAAUUAUACUCUUUGGAAGAUAUUUAUACUGUUUCGCCUCUUAUUUCACUCUUUCAGAUGUAAACUGCAUCUUUUAAGAUGAAAAUUACACUCUUUAAACGAAAGUUGCACUCUUUGAGAGAUAUUUACACUAUUUCUUAUCUUCUUGCAUUCUUUGAGAUAUAAACUGCACCAUUUUAAGAUAUAUUUAUACUGUUUCUCCUCUUAUUGCACUAUUUCUCCCCUUAUUGCAUUAUUUUUUCUCUUGUUACACUUUCUCUUCUUAAA